UGCCGAAACACCCCCCAGUCAGUGGGGUGUCUACUUAGGGUAGUGCCUAGGUACUGACGAGGCAGCUAACA
RNAcentral lists this non-coding RNA (71 nucleotides) under Candidatus Kaiserbacteria bacterium. The record is from RNAcentral. Lineage: Bacteria; Candidatus Kaiseribacteriota.